GGUUGGCCAGUAAUAGUAUUGCUCUUUUGUAGAUUGUGUAGACUGUUGGCCACGCUGAAAAAUGAAACAAAAUACACAAUCUACAAAAGAGCAAUGCUUUUAUUGGCCUACCAGACAAUACAAGCUUUCAAAGCUUUACUGGUUUCUUCAUCAGGGAAAAUACAUUAAAAAUAAGAAAAGUGAUGGUAUCAUUCAGCAGUAUUGCAACACAACACAUUUUGAUUGGUCAAUAAAAGCAUUGCUCUGUUUUGGAUAUCAAAUUUUGUUUUUCUAAUUAUUUGGGUAUAGUUAUCUGAAUAAAGAGGACCCAUUUUAAGCUAAGUAGCCCUAAUGUCGUCACAAUGAAAAUAUACCCUUAUUUUUCCUUUUCUAUUUUAACACCUUUGUCAAAAAGAUACUUUUCUUUGUAAACUUGUAGACUUCUAACUAGUAUUUUCACCCUAAAGUUCAUUCUCCUCAUUUACCAAUAUAAACCAGAUUUACUCUGCAUUGACACAACAAAUGUCCACAAUUUGCUUUUGGCAGAAUGCAAUAUAAAGAUAACCUAUGAGUUCUGAUCAUUUUACAACUGUUUAGCAUAGACUUUCCAAACUAAUACUUCAGUUAGUGUUGCAUAGGUACAGAAAUAAAAGCUUUGAGCAGAAAGCUUCUUAUUAUUAUUUGCUGUUUAUUGUGUUUGUUAUGCCUUCAGAUUGACUCUGACUUAUUGUGACACUAUCAGAGAGUUUUCUUGUCACGAUUUAUACAGAAGAGUUCUGCCAAGACCUAUCUUUAAGAUCAAGCCAAAGUUACACACUUUCCCAAAGUCAUCUAGCUGAGAUUUGAACCCUGGUCCCCAGAGACUUAGGGCCCUUCCACAUAACCAUAUAACCCAGAAUAUCAAGGCACAUAAUCAAUAAUAUCUGCUUUGAACUGGGCUACGUCCACACUGCCAUAUAUUUCAGUUCAAAGCAGAUAAUGUGGGAUUUUAUUCAGCAGUAUAGAAGGGGCCCUAGUCUGACAUUCAAACUAUUAUACCACAAUGGUUCUCAUUUAUGUACAGUUUAAUAGCUGCCCUUCAUAUGUGAACUUCAAGACUCACAACAUGCCAAGACAUAAGUAAACAUAUCUGCAUGUAUUCCAAAUGUAGACACAAUAUAAGCUUCCAAGUAGGGAGAAAUUAGCACCAUAUCAUAGAGUUUACAGGAUUAUCCUAUGGGUAAAAGUACAUUCCUAAACCUACAUGACAUGGCAGCUCUAAUUGGCUGUCAAGUAGAAAAAAAAUUAGUCUCAAAAGAACUAUGGAGCAGACUUACUAAGACUUCAAAAUCUACAAAAAUGCCCAAGACUUCCUUAAUGUUUUGAACUGCCUCUAAUCAUUUCUCCAGAACACCUGUAUUUCUGGUCUUUUCAUGGGUUCUAUCCACAAAUGUGCUCAAUGUUACAGACAAUUGAGGAGAUCUAUAUACAGGCAUGGGGUAGAUAUGUUCCUGAACAUUACUUCUGUAACAGAAAAUUUGGUACCAGAGAUAGAAAUCCAAUAAAAAGGAUACAGAUAGGUCCUUUACCCAAAAAAAGAAGAAGAACAGUUCAGCAUAUUUCAGUAAACUUUUCCAAAGUAACAAAAUGCAUGACUCAAGUAGUUGGGAUGAUUGUAAUUGGGGGGGGGGGGGGGGUGCAGGGCUGACUAUAUCAAGUAAGCCCUAUAUAAGGCCACCUGAAGGCCUUUCCCCAAAUAUGUUCAAGGUAGAUUUCACCCCUUUGACCAGCUUCUGCUGUUUUUAUUAUUUUUAUUUUGGUCUAUGGAUCUGUCCCUCUUUAACAUGCUGUGGCUGCCUAAUUUGCUUUAUCCUUUUCUCCUGGUUCUGCUGUUCAUGUAUAUUCUUGGAAUUCUUUGUAUUAAGCACAUACAGCUACCAUAACUUUGGUAUCUCAGAAUCUCAUACUUUUACAACAUCCUUUUACAGCUGUAUUGCUUUGUUUCCUGCUGUAACUCAACACCAAGUUUGUGUGUCUCCAGUCUCCUUCACCAAUGUGAAUACUGAUAAAUAACAUUUUAAAAACCUCCCACCUGGUCAGGGGACAAGGAAGAAAAGCGUGGGGCUGGACAGGAGUGAAAAGACUUUAUAAAUAGAGUUUCUUUGGCAGAGGUUUUGUUGACUGAGGGAUGCCUGUAUAAAGGAUGUGUGCCAAAAGUACAGUCCCCUUGCUUAAACAAAGAACAUUGAUAUAUUUAUAACAAAUUAUAAAAAAGGAUGUUUCCUACUGUUUUUGCAGUUUCAUCUUGGGCAUAUUAAGAAGUUCAUCUCAUCAUAAUGAAGAAUGACUAUGAAUAUGAAAAACAAAAUUGACAACUCAAAAAAGUUUGACAACUCAAAAUGACAACUAAAAAAACUUUGUGGUUGCUCUUCUAUCCUGCUUUUGAGUUUUCUUGCACAUCCUGUUGAUCAGAAUGGGACUCCGGAUGCUAGAUUAUUUCAUAGGCCUUUGGUCAGAUCCAGGUGAGCUCUUCUUGUGAAUAACAAGUUUUUCCCCCUUACGAAAGAAGAAGUAGGCCAACAAAAUGCUUUUUCUAUUCUAAACAAUGUUACAUAUCUGAUUUUGAUAUGCAACUAAACUAACCAAUUCUCUCUGACCAUACACACAUUUGCUUACCUGAGGACAACAUAAAGCAGUAGUUGAAAAAUUAACCAGAAAUCAAUGAAAGCUACAUCGUGUACCUUUCACUAGCUGUAGAUACAAAAAUAAUUAACCUCUCAUAAAAUCUCAUUUUAUCCCAAAUUGCUUAAUUAUUUCCUCCUGAACUUUUGCUCUUUCAGGGUGCUACAUUCUGUGACUUUGUAGUUCAUGAACUAUGGAAAAUAUAAAUAGUGUCAUAACUAUAGGAAAACAGCUCUAUCUAGAUAAGUAAUGUUGUUAUAUGCUUUCCAGUAGUUUCUGAAUAAAACAACAUUACAGCAACCCUAUCACUGGGUUUUCUUGGUGAGAUUUGUUCAUUGUGUUGUCGAAGGCUUUCAUGGCCGGGAUCACAGGGUUGUUGUAUGUCUUUCGGGCUGUGUGGCCAUGUUCCAGAAGCAUUCUCUCCUGACGUUUCGCCUGCCAUAGAUGUGGGCGAAAUGUCAGGAGAGAAUGCUUCUGGAACAUGGCCACACAGCCCGAAAGACAUACAACAACCCAGAUUUGUUCAUUGUUUACUAUUGCCUUUCUCUGAGACUGUGAGAGAAUAAUUUACCCAAGAUCAUCUGGAGGGUUUCCAUCCCUGAGUGGGGAUUUGAAUCCUGGUCCUGCUGUGUCUAACACUCAAACACUAAACUACUUGGGCUCUCUAAGACUCAUCCCUGUAUUAAUUAUAGCAUGUAAUGGCAAGGCAGGUGCAUACAUAUAUACAAAGAUGCCAGGAUUGAUCAUUGUUAGUUACAUUUAAGCUUGACAUUACUACUAUAAGACUACUGUUUACAAAUUUCAUUGUGGUGAGGAAGGAAGUGUUCAGUUAAAGCACCCAGCAUUUUAUGCGUAUGGUCUUUUGGUAUGGCGAGGUCCUGCAGUUUCAUAUCUGCAUGCAGCAUGCAAAACUAAUUUGAUGCAAUGCUUGUAAAGAUAUCUACAUAAGGAUCUGCUCUCUCUUACAUAAGGCUGAAACUGCUUAUUUAAGUGGAAUAUGCCAGCGUAGACUAUCUGGUUGUACAGCUGAGUUACUUUUUCGAAUAAUGUGACCUUUGUUCAGGAUUUCACUCUGAUGUGUUAUGCACAAUAAAGUCACAUAAGAGCAGGGUAGACCCUACCACUAGGAAAAUCAAAGUCGCUUCUUCAGGCGGCAGAUGUGGGGAAGUCAGCAGGAAGUUGCUGGAGGAAGGAGCUGGGACUGGGAGCUACACAUUUGCCCUGAGCUUUCUAAAGUAACUUGAUGCUUUUAGAUGUAGUGGAGGGAUUUGACCCAUCAGCCAGUGUGGAUGAUCAUUCAGCUGGCUUGUUUUACAUGGAAUGGCAGGACAAGUACCAUCUUACUUUUUGCCUCAGGCAGCAGAGUACUUUGAGCCAGUUUUGGCAAGUGUAGCAAGAAACACAGAUUAGUAGCAGAAAUUAUUUUGAGCCAUAGAACUGUGAUAAUAUGUUUAAUGUUUCUCCAGUAUGACUUUCCAAUGACAAUAUUUAACAGACAUUAAGUCUGUAAUAUAAAAUGGCUUUCAGUUACAUGUCUUUCUUGCAACAAAUAGAUUCACUCUCUCGAUCCAUCACUCUGACAGUCAUAAGAAAGCAGGGUGUUAUGAUUGAGCCUCAUGGCUCUGUUACUGGCAGACGUGGGCGUAAGACUCCUCGAGAGUCAGAUACUCUCGAGGAGCGAGAAAGAAAGAGACUGCGAGAUAUCUUUGCAGCACCAUCUGACGAAGAGUCUUUUGAGGGGUUUACGGAGAGAAUGGAGGAGGGGCUGGUUAGCUCGGAGGAGGAUGAGAUGGAUUGGACUCGGGUGAGGGAGGAAUUGGGUGCCACUGGCAAUGAUGGGAUGGAAGAUGAAUGGGGACCUUCAGGAUUAGACCCAUGGACAAGCUGGAGGGAUGGGACGGGAUCCACAGCUGGGGAUGCUGUGGGGCGUAGUCAGAGGUGUUCCAGCUCUGAUGAGGAAAGUGAUGAGGAAACGCCCGGGUUAAGGAGGGCAGCUGAUAGUGAUGAGGAUUUGUAACUGGCAUAAAAUGAGGCUUGGGAGCAAUUGCAAAUUGCGUUGGGCAAGGUAAUCUGGACGAACGCUUGGGAUCUGUGUGGGACGCUUUCCUGAAGACUGGUGUGUUUUCGUGUGCUGAUACCUUUGACCUUCCGUCGUCUUCUUGACGGACGCCAUCUCCUGUUUUGGAUUUCGGACUGAACUGACCACGGCUUGACUUCCCCCUACUCGGACUUGGUGAAACUACAAACGUCUGCUUCUGGCUUGAACUACGGAAAGGAACUGGGUCUACUCUACUGCUUCAAUCCUCGGCUGAUCUGUGUGUAUUGGAAAUCUUGCCUGCUGUGUGGAGGAGUGACUCAAGUUACUCAAAACACAGUGCUGGCAGCAGAGAGGAAUCUGCUGCCAAUUAAUUGCAUUCUUUUGAACACUUUGUUCCCCGGCUUCUGUUUUGUUUAUCCCCAGGCUGAAGCAAGCUGUUUUGUUUUUACCCGGAUUAAACUCCGGUUUAAUCCGGUUUAUCUUUUGAACGUUUUUCCUUGCCCCUUUUUGCUUUUAAAGGUUAAUACUGCCUGGCCCUUGUAUUUUAUGGGCAUUUUGAGUUCUGUUAUCCAAUAAACUCUGUUAUCUUUGA
Molecule: long non-coding RNA, 5270 nt
Organism: Anolis carolinensis (green anole)
Lineage: Eukaryota; Metazoa; Chordata; Lepidosauria; Squamata; Anolidae
Exons: 2
Source: RefSeq, a predicted model, not a curated record